AUUGAACGCUGGCGGCAGGCCUAACACAUGCAAGUCGAGCGAGCGGCGGACGGGUGAGUAAUGUAUGGGGACUGCCCGAUAGAGGGGGAUAACUACUGGAAACGGUAGCUAAUACCGCAUACUAUCGGCUUACCCAUAUGGGAUUAGCUAGUAGGUGGGGUAAUGGCUCACCUAGGCGACGAUCCCUAUCUGGUCUGAGAGGAUGAUCAGCCACACUGGGACUGGUACACGGCCCAGACUCCUACGGAGGAACCAGUGGGAAAUUUUGGACAAUGGGGAAAACCCUGAGCCAGCCAUCCCGCGUGGAUGAUGAAGGCCUUCGGGUUGUAAAGUACUUUUGGCAGAGAAGCGGUAUCUGCAGAGUAAGCACCGGCUAACUACGUGCCAGCAGCCGCGGUAAUUC
Molecule: ribosomal RNA, 403 nt
Filed under: uncultured bacterium
Lineage: Bacteria
Description: partial 16S ribosomal RNA
Rfam family: Bacterial small subunit ribosomal RNA
Source: RNAcentral